Molecule: ribosomal RNA, 253 nt
Filed under: uncultured bacterium
Lineage: Bacteria
Description: partial 16S ribosomal RNA
Rfam family: Bacterial small subunit ribosomal RNA
Source: RNAcentral
GACGUAGGGGGCCAGCGUUGUUCGGAAUUACUGGGUGUAAAGGGUUCGUAGGCGAUGCGGCAAGUUGGGAGUGAAAUCUCUGGGCUUAACCCAGAGGCUGCUUCCAAAACUGCUGUGCUUGAGUGUGGGAGAGGCGCGUGGAAUUGCAGGUGUAGCGGUGAAAUGCGUAGAUAUCUGCAGGAACACCCGUGGCGAAAGCGGCGCGCUGGACCACUACUGACGCUGAGGAACGAAAGCUAGGGGAGCAAACAGG